Molecule: long non-coding RNA, 1033 nt
Filed under: Oryctolagus cuniculus (rabbit)
Lineage: Eukaryota; Metazoa; Chordata; Mammalia; Lagomorpha; Leporidae
Description: lncRNA (ENSOCUG00000035500.1)
Source: RNAcentral
AAGCAAACUUUCCAAAUGGAGAAAUCAGAAUCUCUUUCCCUGUGAUAUGCUUUCCCUGAGUGGUACCACAGUUGCUUCCAGAGGCACUGCACACCUCUCCGGAGAACAGCAUGGAGUCAAGCUUAUCCUGUGAGGUCCUUUCCAACCCCACCAUCUGCAGGGCAGAGGGCAGGACUGCAGCAGAGAACUCUGAUGGGGUUUCUAAGCAAUUUGUGUUGUCUCCAAUAAUGCAGUUUCAGAAGUGUUAAUAUUGUGCUUACCCAAGCUCAAACAUUCUAGGAUUUCAAACAGACGGUAAUUAAGCUGCCCUGAGUGUUGUGUGGCCCUGCUAGACAUGGUAGGGUACUUCUGAUGACCUUUUGUAGCUGGCUUAGCCUUGAUCUUUCCAUUCAUCAAUAACUCCACUGUGAGACAGGCUUCUUGGGGAGGGGUUGGUGGAAGAGAGACCUGGUUAAGCUAAAUAUCUGUCUGCUCCCAGUUACUCAUACAUGACAAAAUAGUUUUAUUUAAGCUGCUUGAUGGAAAUCAAAUUGUCACACUCGGUGUGUGCAUGCAUACCACACUCCUAGGUAUUCAUAUAGCUAUUGUCUUUCUGCCAGCUGCCUUCCCCCAGAGUUUUAGGUCACCCUCAGAUCUUAAGUCCAUCAGCAGUUUGCUUUUGUUUUUAUUUUUUGCUAACAGCUCUUUGGCUCUUCACAGAAGCUUUGACUGCAGAGGAGACUGGCUGGGAAGGAGUGGGGCUGCGGGGCAGCGAGAUGCUGCAGAGAGAAGAAACCAGCCGGGCACCUGCUGCCGUCUUUUGGGGGAGCUGAAAAGAGAGGCACACGCAAGUGGUGAACGGAAACAAAGCCCGGAGGUUGGCUCUUUCUCAGCCAUGCUGGAGCCCAUCCAGGACAGCAAUUCCUUUCCUCGCCACUACUUCACUGCUGCAGGAAUGCAGCAAAUGCUGCAGAAUUGCAAAUGGGCGGAUCCCUGGAUUCCUUCAGUAGAGCUGUCAAGCUCCUGCAGGAUUUGUAACGUUAGUGGUUGGUAA